This 460-nucleotide ribosomal RNA is filed under the name uncultured bacterium. Its description in RNAcentral is "partial 16S ribosomal RNA". It matches the Rfam family "Bacterial small subunit ribosomal RNA", at positions 338 to 795 of the family's 1533-position model. The record is from RNAcentral.
CCUACGGGAGGCAGCAGUGAGGAAUAUUGGUCAAUGGACGCAAGUCUGAACCAGCCAUGCCGCGUGCAGGAAGACGGCUCUAUGCGUUGUAAACUGCUUUUGUACGAGGGCAAAUUCCGAUUCGUGUGUCGGGCUGAAAGUAUCGUACGAAAAAGGAUCGGCUAACUCCGUGCCAGCAGCCGCGGUAAUACGGAGGAUUCAAGCGUUAUCCGGAUUUAUUGGGGUUAAAGGGUGCGUAGGCGGUACGUUAAGUUAGGGGUGAAAUCCCGGGGCUUAACCCCGGCACUGCCUCUGAAACUGUCUGUCUAGAGUUUAGGUGAGGUAGGCGGAAUGUGUGGUGUAGCGGUGAAAUGCAUAGAGAUCAUGCAGAACACCGAUUGCGAAGGCAGCUUACCGGACUCCGACUGACGUUGAGGCACGAAAGCGUGGGGAGCAAACAGGAUUAGAUACCCGAGUAGUC